This 69-nucleotide transfer RNA is filed under the name Rattus norvegicus (Norway rat). It matches the Rfam family "tRNA". From Rfam's summary of the family: Transfer RNA (tRNA) molecules are approximately 80 nucleotides in length. The record is from Rfam by way of RNAcentral. Lineage: Eukaryota; Metazoa; Chordata; Mammalia; Rodentia; Muridae.
GGGGAUUUAGCUCAGUGGCAGAGCACUUGCCUAGCAAGCACAAGGCCCUGGGUUCGAUCCCCAGCUCUG